RNAcentral lists this ribosomal RNA (253 nucleotides) under uncultured bacterium. RNAcentral's name for it is "partial 16S ribosomal RNA". It matches the Rfam family "Bacterial small subunit ribosomal RNA", at positions 524 to 776 of the family's 1533-position model. The record is from RNAcentral.
UACGAAGGGUGCAAGCGUUACUCGGAAUUACUGGGCGUAAAGCGUGCGUAGGUGGUUUGUUAAGUCUGUUGUGAAAGCCCCGGGCUCAACCUGGGAAUGGCAAUGGAUACUGGCAAGCUAGAGUGCGGUAGAGGGUAGUGGAAUUCCCGGUGUAGUGGUGAAAUGCGUAGAGAUCGGGAGGAACACCAGUGGCGAAGGCGGCUACCUGGACCAGCACUGACACUGAGGCACGAAAGCGUGGGGAGCAAACAGG